This 486-nucleotide ribosomal RNA is filed under the name uncultured bacterium. RNAcentral's name for it is "partial 16S ribosomal RNA". It matches the Rfam family "Bacterial small subunit ribosomal RNA", at positions 28 to 507 of the family's 1533-position model. The record is from RNAcentral.
GACGAACGCUGGCGGCGUGCUUAACACAUGCAAGUCGAACGCUGAAGACCUGGCUUUUGUUGGGUUGGAUGAGUGGCGAACGGGUGAGUAACACGUGAGUAACCUGCCCUCUUCUUUGGGAUAACGCCCGGAAACGGGUGCUAAUACUGGAUAUUCACUGAUCUUCGCAGGGGGGUUGGUGGAAAGGUUUGUUCUGGUGGGGGAUGGGCUCGCGGCCUAUCAGCUUGUUGGUGGGGUGAUGGCCUACCAAGGCUUUGACGGGUAGCCGGCCUGGGAGGGUGACCGGUCACAUUGGGACUGGGAUACGGCCCAGACUCCUACGGGAGGCAGCAGUGGGGGAUAUAGCACAAUGGGCGAAUGCCUGAUGCCGCGACGCCGCGUGAGGGAUGGAGGCCUUCGGGUUGUAAACCUCUUUCGCUCAUGGUCAAGCCGCAACUGUGGGUUGUGGUGAGGGUAGUGGGUAAAGAAGCGCCGGCUAACUACGUG